Molecule: ribosomal RNA, 250 nt
Filed under: uncultured bacterium
Lineage: Bacteria
Description: partial 16S ribosomal RNA
Rfam family: Bacterial small subunit ribosomal RNA
Source: RNAcentral
UACAGAGGGUGCAAGCGUUAAUCGGAAUUACUGGGCGUAAAGCGCGCGUAGGCGGUUUCGUAAGUCGGGUGUGAAAUCCCCGGGCUCAACCUGGGAAUUGCAUUCGAGACUGCGGAGCUAGGGUGCGGAAGAGGGAAGUGGAAUUUCCGGUGUAGCGGUGAAAUGCGUAGAUAUCGGAAGGAACAUCAGUGGCGAAAGCGACUUCCUGGUCCAGCACCGACGCUCAGGCGCGAAAGCGUGGGGAGCAAAC